RNAcentral lists this ribosomal RNA (396 nucleotides) under Triticum aestivum (bread wheat). Its description in RNAcentral is "partial small subunit ribosomal RNA". Lineage: Eukaryota; Viridiplantae; Streptophyta; Magnoliopsida; Poales; Poaceae. The record is from RNAcentral.
AUGCUGAAUGUUCACCUGCGAACAGUUACAAGAAUAUGCAAUCUAGCCAAACGACAACUUACAGCAUGCCAAGAAGUUGAUGUUUCAAGCAAGAAGAACAAGAGUGGUAGGAAGAGGAAAGAACUAGAUCUGUCGAGAACAGCCACAAUCCCUUUGAACAAAAGAAGAACAAUCCGUCCUCUAGCAAGGUGUUUAGGUGUGCCCCGAUCAACCCUACAUGACAGAUUUCAGUUGCAAGAGUUGAAACGCAUCACGAGCACCAUCAAACCCACCCUCAAGCCACAGAACAAGACAGCGAGACUAAAGUUCUGCCUAUCCAUGAUGGAUGAAAGAUGGAUAUCAAGUCCUUGGCCUAGUUUCAAACCAAUGACAAAUAUGGUCCACAUCGAUGAGUAA